RNAcentral lists this ribosomal RNA (429 nucleotides) under Chloroflexota bacterium. RNAcentral's name for it is "Chloroflexi bacterium partial 16S ribosomal RNA". It matches the Rfam family "Bacterial small subunit ribosomal RNA", at positions 355 to 776 of the family's 1533-position model. Lineage: Bacteria; Bacillati; Chloroflexota. The record is from RNAcentral.
UGGGGAAUAUUGCACAAUGGGCGCAAGCCUGAUGCAGCCAUGCCGCGUGUGUGAAGAAGGCCUUCGGGUUGUAAAGUACUUUCAGUCGGGAGGAAGGUGGUAAGGUUAAUAACCUUGGCAAUUGACGUUACCGACAGAAGAAGCACCGGCUAACUCCGUGCCAGCAGCCGCGGUAAUACGGAGGGUGCAAGCGUUAAUCGGAAUUACUGGGCGUAAAGCGCACGCAGGCGGUCUGUCAAGUCGGAUGUGAAAUCCCCGGGCUCAACCUGGGAACUGCAUUCGAAACUGGCAGGCUAGAGUCUUGUAGAGGGGGGUAGAAUUCCAGGUGUAGCGGUGAAAUACGUAGAGAACUAGAGGAAUACCGGUGGCGAAGGCGGCCCCCUGGACGAAGACUGACGCUCAGGUGCGAAAGCGUGGGGAGCAAACAGG